AGUGAACGCUGGCGGUAGGCCUAACACAUGCAAGUCGAACGGCAGCACAGUAAGAGCUUGCUCUUACGGGUGGCGAGUGGCGGACGGGUGAGGAAUACAUCGGAAUCUACUUUUUCGUGGGGGAUAACGUAUGGAAACUUACGCUAAUACCGCAUACGACCUACGGGUGAAAGCAGGGGAUCUUCGGACCUUGCACGAUUGAAUGAGCCGAUGUCGGAUUAGCUAGUUGGCGGGGUAAAGGCCCACCAAGGCGACGAUCCGUAGCUGGUCUGAGAGGAUGAUCAGCCACACUGGAACUGAGACACGGUCCAGACUCCUACGGGAGGCAGCAGUGGGGAAUAUUGGACAAUGGGCGCAAGCCUGAUCCAGCCAUACCGCGUGGGUGAAGAAGGCCUUCGGGUUAUAAAGCCCUUUUGUUGGGAAAGAAAAGCAGCAGGUUAAUACCCCGCUGUUCUGACGGUACCCAAAGAAUAAGCACCGGCUAACUUCGUG
RNAcentral lists this ribosomal RNA (492 nucleotides) under uncultured bacterium. RNAcentral's name for it is "partial 16S ribosomal RNA". It matches the Rfam family "Bacterial small subunit ribosomal RNA", at positions 29 to 507 of the family's 1533-position model. The record is from RNAcentral.